Molecule: non-coding RNA, 110 nt
Organism: Acanthosepion pharaonis
Lineage: Eukaryota; Metazoa; Mollusca; Cephalopoda; Sepiida; Sepiidae
Source: the annotation of a GenBank genome assembly
UACAGUCAUUUUCACGUAGAAACACCGGUUCUCGUACGCUCACCGAAGUUAAGCAAUGUAAUGUCAGGUCAGUAUCUCGAUGGGUGAAGGCUUACGAAUACCAAAUGCCG